Molecule: transfer RNA, 74 nt
Filed under: Candidatus Omnitrophica bacterium ADurb.Bin277
Lineage: Bacteria; Pseudomonadati; Candidatus Omnitrophota
Also listed under: 1 other name
Description: tRNA-Gly
Rfam family: tRNA
About the family: Transfer RNA (tRNA) molecules are approximately 80 nucleotides in length. Their secondary structure includes four short double-helical elements and three loops (D, anti-codon, and T loops).
Source: RNAcentral
GCGGGAUUAGCAUAGUGGUAAUGUCCCAGCUUCCCAAGCUGGUCAGACGGGUUCGAUUCCCGUAUCCCGCUCCA